GAUUAUGGCUCAGGAUGAACGCUGGCGGCGUGCUUAACACAUGCAAGUCGAACGAAGCACUGAAGAAUGGAGAUUCGUCAAAGUUCUCUUGACUGAGUGGCGAACGGGUGAGUAAUGCGUGAGCAACCUGCCCUUCAGAGGGGGACAACAGUUGGAAACGACUGCUAAUACCGCAUGAUGUGUUUGGAUGGCAUCAUCUGAAUACCAAAGGAGAAAUCCGCUGAGGGAUGGGCUCACGUCUGAUUAGCUAGAUGGCAGGGUAACGGCCUACCAUGGCGACGAUCAGUAGCCGGACUGAGAGGUUGAACGGCCACAUUGGGACUGAGAUACGGCCCAGACUCCUACGGGAGGCAGCAGUGGGGAAUAUUGGGCAAUGGGCCGAAAGCCUGACCCAGCAACGCCGCGUGAAGGAAGAAGGCCUUCGGGUUGUAAACUUCUUUUAACAGGGACGAAGAAGUGACGGUACCUGUUGAAUAAGCCACGGCUAACUACGUGCCAGCCGCGGC
RNAcentral lists this ribosomal RNA (506 nucleotides) under uncultured bacterium. Its description in RNAcentral is "bacterial SSU rRNA". It matches the Rfam family "Bacterial small subunit ribosomal RNA", at positions 15 to 518 of the family's 1533-position model. The record is from RNAcentral.